CUACGGGUGGCACCAGUGAGGAAUAUUGCACAAUGGGGGGAACCCUGAUGCAGCAACGCCGCGUGGAGGAUGACGCAUUUCGGUGUGUAAACUCCUUUUAUAUGUCAAGAAAAUGACGGUAGCAUAUGAAUAAGCACCGGCUAACUCCGUGCCGGCAGCGCGCGGUAAUACGGAGGGUGCAAGCGUUACUCGGAAUCACUGGGCGUAAAGGACGCGUAGGCGGGUUGGAAAGUCAGGUGUGAAAUCCUACAGCUUAACUGUAGAACUGCACUUGAAACUUCUAAUCUAGAGUAUGGGAGGGGGAGAUGGAAUUAGUGGUGUAGGGGUAAAAUCCGUAGAUAUCACUAGGAAUACCUAAAGCGAAGGCGAUCUCCUGGAACAUUACUGACGCUAAGGCGUGAAAGCGUGGGGAGCAAACAGGAUUAGAUACCCCGGUAGUC
This 440-nucleotide ribosomal RNA is filed under the name uncultured bacterium. RNAcentral describes it as "partial 16S ribosomal RNA". It matches the Rfam family "Bacterial small subunit ribosomal RNA", at positions 339 to 795 of the family's 1533-position model. The record is from RNAcentral.